Molecule: long non-coding RNA, 1207 nt
Filed under: Strongylocentrotus purpuratus (purple sea urchin)
Lineage: Eukaryota; Metazoa; Echinodermata; Echinoidea; Camarodonta; Strongylocentrotidae
Description: uncharacterized LOC115924117
Source: RNAcentral
CUUUGCUUUCAAUGCAGAGUAGAACUCCUCAUGGAGACACCCUCCAAGUGUCAGGUCAGUCAGGAUGGGCAUAGAACACACUGCUUCUGCUAGGAGAUGUAUUGAGGCUGAUGUGGGACAAUGGAGAUCAUCAAGCUUGACAGUCUGGACCUGCAUUGUUUGUCAAUAUAUUUAAGCAUCACGUCUAUACAUGCAUAUGUUAUAUUUACUAAUUUCUGUCUGUAUUCUUACAUUUUAUACUGUGAGGAUCUUAGUCAAAUUAGGUAGUUCUUUGUGAGCCCAUGUAAGUUAUACAAGGAUCAUAUGCAAAUUAGAUGUUCUUUUGUGAGCCCAUGUAAGUUAUACAAGGAUCAUAUGCAAAUUAGAUGUUCUUUGUGAGCCCAUGUAAGUUAUGCAAGGAUCGUAUGCAAAUUAGAUGUUCUUUGUGAGCCCAUGUAAGUUAUACAAGGAUCAUAUGGAAAUUAGAUGUUCUUUUGUGAGCCCACUUAUGAACAGGUGCUUAAUGUAGAUUUCCACUUCACUAGAUGAAUAGCUAAGUGUAUUCAAGUGUACACAAUAUCUAGGUUCUGUCAGGUGUAUAUAAUUGCAGACUUUUUGUAUGACACAUUUUCAUUUGUGUGUGCUAGUAAAAAUGCACACGCAGACUGCUCACUUGGAUAAUUGAUCUUGAAGAGAGAGGUCUGUGUUACAGUUUUGGGGGGUAUUUCCAAGGAAAGGAACCGGCGUGGUGUGGUGCCAUGCAACCCAGUGCAUGAUAAGACUGUUCUUCCCUCUUCUCAAUGCCGAAUUACGGCGGUCAACCUACGCGUCAACCUCGGCCAUACGUAUAGUCAACCUCAGACUACGUAUACUUGGGCAACCUCGGCUAGGACAGAGUCGGGUGUUUCAAGGUCAUUCAAGGGUUAUCUUCAACCAGAUCAACGGGGCGCAUCUCUAGCUUUCCACUGUUCAAGGCAAUCACUCGCCGUCGCUACUGGUCAACACACGUUCGUCGUUGCAGUCGUCGCAUAUAGUUUCAUCGAAGUAUCAACGUUAAAUGAACUCAGAGAAGACAAACAUUUAUUUAAGCUUCAUUGAAUGCCAGUAUCCUAUUUACAGAUAAUUAUUAUUUUGUAAACGACAAUAAUAUGAUGUGUUCUAUUUGAGCAAGGAUAUUUGUAAUAUCCUCCUUGAUUUGAGUUACAUUAAAUGUUUCAUUCAACCUAUA